RNAcentral lists this ribosomal RNA (253 nucleotides) under uncultured bacterium. RNAcentral's name for it is "partial 16S ribosomal RNA". It matches the Rfam family "Bacterial small subunit ribosomal RNA", at positions 524 to 776 of the family's 1533-position model. The record is from RNAcentral.
UACAGAUGGGGCAAGCGUUGUUCGGAAUUACUGGGCGUAAAGGGCGCGUAGGCGGUCUGCUAAGCGUGCGGUGAAAGCCUGGGGCUCAACCCCAGGUCUGCCGUGCGAACUGGUGGACUAGAGCACUGUAGAGGCAGGUGGAAUUCCGGGUGUAGCGGUGGAAUGCGUAGAGAUCCGGAAGAACACCGGUGGCGAAGGCGGCCUGCUGGGCAGUUGCUGACGCUGAGGCGCGACAGCGUGGGGAGCAAACAGG